RNAcentral lists this non-coding RNA (103 nucleotides) under Oscillibacter sp. Its description in RNAcentral is "TPP sequence". It matches the Rfam family "TPP riboswitch aptamer (THI element)". From Rfam's summary of the family: Vitamin B(1) in its active form thiamin pyrophosphate (TPP) is an essential coenzyme that is synthesised by coupling of pyrimidine and thiazole moieties in bacteria. The previously detected thiamin-regulatory element, thi box was extended, resulting in a new, highly conserved RNA secondary structure, the THI element, which is widely distributed in eubacteria and also occurs in some archaea. The record is from RNAcentral. Lineage: Bacteria; Bacillati; Bacillota; Clostridia; Eubacteriales; Oscillospiraceae. RNAcentral also lists the same sequence under 1 other name.
CGACAAAAACAGGGGAGCCCUCACGGGCUGAGAGGAAGCGGACCGCUUCGACCCUUUACCUGAUGUGGGUAAUGCCACCGUAGGAAGUUAUGUAUGAGCAUCC